This 253-nucleotide ribosomal RNA is filed under the name uncultured bacterium. Its description in RNAcentral is "partial 16S ribosomal RNA". It matches the Rfam family "Bacterial small subunit ribosomal RNA", at positions 524 to 776 of the family's 1533-position model. The record is from RNAcentral.
UACAGAGGUGGCAAGCGUUGUUCGGAAUUACUGGGCGUAAAGGGCGCGUAGGCGGCCCGUCAAGUCCCGUGUGAAAGCCCCCGGCUCAACCGGGGAACGGCGCGGGAAACUAGCAGGCUUGAGUUCGGGAGAGGGAAGCGGAAUUCCGGGUGUAGCGGUGAAAUGAGCAGAUAUCCGGAGGAACACCGGUGGCGAAGGCGGCUUCCUGGACCGACACUGACGCUGAGGCGCGAAAGCUAGGGGAGCAAACGGG